GACGAACGCUGGCGGCGUGCUUAACACAUGCAAGUCGUACGGUAAGGCCCUUUCGGGGGUGCACGAGUGGCGAACGGGUGAGUAACACGUGAGUAACCUGCCCACAACUUUGGGAUAACGCUAGGAAACUGGUGCUAAUACUGGAUAUGUGCUCCUGCUGCAUGGUGGGGGUUGGAAAGCUCCGGCGGUUGUGGAUGGACUCGCGGCCUAUCAGCUUGUUGGUGGGGUAGUGGCCUACCAAGGCGGCGACGGGUAGCCGGCCUGAGAGGGUGACCGGCCACAUUGGGACUGAGAUACGGCCCAGACUCCUACGGGAGGCAGCAGUGGGGAAUAUUGCACAAUGGGCGCAAGCCUGAUGCAGCAACGCCGCGUGCGGGAUGACGGCCUUCGGGUUGUAAACCGCUUUCAGCAGGGACGAAGCUUUUUGUGACGGUACCUGCAGAAGAAGCACCGGCUAACUACGU
This 464-nucleotide ribosomal RNA is filed under the name uncultured bacterium. RNAcentral describes it as "partial 16S ribosomal RNA". It matches the Rfam family "Bacterial small subunit ribosomal RNA", at positions 28 to 506 of the family's 1533-position model. The record is from RNAcentral.